Molecule: transfer RNA, 76 nt
Filed under: Clostridiales bacterium
Lineage: Bacteria; Bacillati; Bacillota; Clostridia; Eubacteriales
Also listed under: 1 other name
Description: tRNA-Thr
Rfam family: tRNA
About the family: Transfer RNA (tRNA) molecules are approximately 80 nucleotides in length. Their secondary structure includes four short double-helical elements and three loops (D, anti-codon, and T loops).
Source: RNAcentral
GCUGGUGUAGCUCAAUUGGCAGAGCAGCUGACUUGUAAUCAGCAGGUUGGCGGUUCGAUUCCGUUCACCAGCUCCA